GGAGAGAUGGCUCAGGGGUUAAGAGCACUGACUGUUCUUCCAGAGGUCCUGAGUUCAAUUCCCAGCAACCACA
RNAcentral lists this transfer RNA (73 nucleotides) under Mus musculus (house mouse). RNAcentral's name for it is "tRNA-Asn". Lineage: Eukaryota; Metazoa; Chordata; Mammalia; Rodentia; Muridae. The record is from RNAcentral.